AAUCGAACUCGGAGAUAGCUGGUUCUCCUCGAAAUAGCUUUAGGGCUAGCCUUGAGGUAAAAGAAUUAUGGGGGUAGAGCACUGAAUGAGGUAGGGGCCAAACCAGGUUACUGAACUCUAUCAAACUGCGAAUACCAUAAUUAGAAUACUCAGGAGUCAGACUGCGGGAGCUAAGUUCCGUGGUCAAAAGGGAAAGAGCCCAGACCGACAAUUAAGGUCCCAAAGAUAUAGUUAAGUGGAAAACGAUGUGAAUUUGCAUAAACAACCAGGAUGUUGGCUCAGAAGCAGCCACUCAUUCAAAGAGUGCGUAACAGCUCACUGGUCGAGUGAAUUUGCGCGGAAAAUUACCGGGGCUAAACUAUACACCGAAAUUUCGGAUUUACGUAUGAAAAUAUGUAAGUGGUAGAGGAGCAUUCUGUAGUAGGACGAAGUCAAAGCGAAAGCAUUGGUGGACGAGGCAGAAGAGAGAAUGCUGGAAUAAGUAGCGAGAGCAAGGUGAGAAUCCUUGCCGUCGAAAGUCUAAGGUUUCCUGGGGAAGGUUCGUCCGCCCAGGGUAAGUCGGGGCCUAAGGAGAGGCCGAAAGGCGUAUCUGAUGGAUAGCAGGUGGAGAUUCCUGCACUAUAGCUAGUUUUAAAAGAUGCAAGGGACGCAGUAGAGGAAGAUAACCAAGGAAGAGGAAAGACUUGGUCCGCAAGGGAUAGUGAAAAUUAAUAGUAACGAAAUAUCAAGAAUCACACUGACGAGAAAAGCUUGUAGAUAUUAACUAGAAAUACCCGUACCGCAAACCGACACAGGUAGAUGAGGAGAGGAUCCUAAGACGAGCGGGAGAAGCAUUGUUAAGGAACUCGGCAAAAUAACCCCGUAACUUCGGGAGAAGGGGAACCUAAGUAAAAUUAGGUCGCAGAGAAAAGGCCCAAGCAACUGUUUAACAAAAACACAGGUUUCUGCAAAAUCGAAAGAUGAAGUAUAGGAGCUGACGCCUGCCCAGUGCUGGAAGGUUAAGGGAAAGAGUUAGAUGUAAGUCGAAGCUUAGAACUAAAGCCCCAGUGAACGGCGGCCGUAACUAUAACGGUCCUAAGGUAGCGAAAUUCCUUGUCAGGUAAGUUCUGACCCGCACGAAAGGCGUAAUGAUUUGGGCACUGUCUCGACAAUGUACCCGGCGAAAUUGUAGUACUAGUGAAGAUGCUAGUUACCUGCGACAAGACAGAAAGACCCCAUGGAGCUUUACUGCAGUUUGAUACUGGGUUUCGAUAAGUUAUGUACAGGAUAGGUGGGAGACAAAGAAAGAAAGGCGUCAGCUUUUCCGGAGUCACCGUUGGGAUACCACCCUUAAUUUGUUGGAAUUCUAACUAGUGGUCAUGAUCUGGCCAGAGGACAAUGUCAGACGGGCAGUUUGACUGGGGCGGUCGCCUCCAAAAGAGUAACGGAGGCGCCCAAAGGUUCCCUCAGUGCGGACAGAAAUCGCACGAAAGAGUGUAAAGGCAGAAGGGAGCUUAACUGGAAGAUAGACAUAUCGAGCAGAUACGAAAGUAGGGCUUAGUGAUCCGGUGGAUAUUGAAUGGAAAAGCCAUCGCUCAACGGACAAAAGUUACCCUGGGGAUAACAGGCUUAUCUCCCCCAAGAGUUCACAUCGACGGGGAGGUUUGGCACCUCGAUGUCGGCUCAUCGCAUCCUGGAGCUGUAGCAGGUUCCAAGGGUUGGGCUGUUCGCCCAUUAAAGCGGUACGCGAGCUGGGUUCAGAACGUCGUGAGACAGUUCGGUCCUUAUCUGUCGCAGGCGGAAGAUAUUUGAGAGGAGCUGUCCUUAGUACGAGAGGACCAGGAUGGACAUACCGAUGGUGUAUCAGUUGUCACACCAGUGGCACGGCUGAGUAGCCAAGUAUGGACGGGAUAAACGCUGAAAGCAUCUAAGUGUGAAGCCCACCUCAAGAUAAGAUAUCUCAUAUCGU
This 1948-nucleotide ribosomal RNA is filed under the name human metagenome. RNAcentral describes it as "bacterial LSU rRNA". It matches the Rfam family "Bacterial large subunit ribosomal RNA", at positions 831 to 2822 of the family's 2925-position model. The record is from RNAcentral.